UACGUAGGUGGCAAGCGUUGUCCGGAUUUACUGGGCGUAAAGAGCGCGCAGGCGGUCGGAUAAGUCGAAUGUGAAAGCCCCCGGCUCAACUGGGGAGGGUCACGCGAUACUGAUCGACUCGAAGGCAGGAGAGGGUAGUGGAAUUCCCGGUGUAGUGGUGAAAUGCGUAGAUAUCGGGAGGAACACCAGUGGCGAAGGCGACUACCUGGCCUGUUCUUGACGCUGAGGCGCGAAAGCUAGGGGAGCGAACAGG
Molecule: ribosomal RNA, 253 nt
Filed under: uncultured bacterium
Lineage: Bacteria
Description: partial 16S ribosomal RNA
Rfam family: Bacterial small subunit ribosomal RNA
Source: RNAcentral